Molecule: long non-coding RNA, 502 nt
Filed under: Ananas comosus (pineapple)
Lineage: Eukaryota; Viridiplantae; Streptophyta; Magnoliopsida; Poales; Bromeliaceae
Description: long non-coding RNA (ACOM_LNC005883)
Source: RNAcentral
AAAAAAAAAGAAAAGAUUAAUUUCAUAUAGGUCCUGCAAACAUGAUAAAUAAUAGAUAUAUUUUUAUAAAAUUUAACUUUCAUAAGUUAUUCCUACAAAAGUCUUAAUAUAUUCAGAUAUGUUCCUGCCGUUAAUAUCCGUCAGAGAAAUCUAUUUAACCAUAGUUAAAAUACUUAACUGUGGUCAGUUAAUAAGGUAAAAUAAUAUUUUUAUCCUUCUUCCUCUUCCCCUUUCUCUACUGCUUCCUCCUCUUCUUCUUCCUCUUCCUCUACUGCUUCCUCCUCUUCUUCUUCCUCUUCCUCUACUGCUUCCUCCUCUUCUUCUUCCUCUUCCUCUUCCUCUCCUGCUUUCCUCUUCCUGCUUUCCUCUUCCACUUCCUCUCCUACUGCUUCUUCUUCCUCUUCUUCUUCGUAUCCUCAUUUUCCUCUUCCUUUUCUCCUCCUUCUUCUUCGUCGUCGUCGUCGUCGUCGAUGAUCCAAUCGUCGUCGCCGUCGUGGUGCCC